GUUAGAGGCGCGGUUUUUAUCAGUAGUCAGGCUCAGGGCGCAGCCUUGCCCGUAUAUCCCUGUAUGAAAGGAAACACCGCCGAAAGCGUGCUGCAGGCAAAGCGCAGCAUGGCUUGGCUGCACGGGCGAACAGCUUUGCAGCUGUCAUCAAGCAAUUUGAUGGAGUGCUAA
Molecule: non-coding RNA, 171 nt
Filed under: human gut metagenome
Description: Lysine riboswitch
Rfam family: Lysine riboswitch aptamer
About the family: Riboswitches are metabolite binding domains within certain messenger RNAs that serve as precision sensors for their corresponding targets.
Source: RNAcentral